AACUAAGUUUGUUCUGAGUGUAAGCUUUCGUGUGCUUGCACACUUCUUCAGAUACCUUUUCUUAUCGACCUCACAAAGAGACUUGCGCAGGUACAGGUAUCUGAAGAAGUGUGCAUGCACACGAAAGCUUACACCCAGAACAAACUUAGGUGG
RNAcentral lists this microRNA precursor (153 nucleotides) under Podarcis lilfordi (Lilford's wall lizard). Lineage: Eukaryota; Metazoa; Chordata; Lepidosauria; Squamata; Lacertidae. The record is from RNAcentral.